This 309-nucleotide long non-coding RNA is filed under the name Salmo salar (Atlantic salmon). RNAcentral's name for it is "lncRNA (ENSSSAG00000085461.1)". Lineage: Eukaryota; Metazoa; Chordata; Actinopteri; Salmoniformes; Salmonidae. The record is from RNAcentral.
GUUCCUUUCCUGAGGAUGGCUCACCCCUCACAGUUCUGGAUGAAAUCUUGCGUCUUGUGACGGCCGGCCGCCCAACAACCUGCCCGCUUGACCCUAUCCCCUCCUCUCUUCUCCAGACCAUUUCCGGAGACCUUCUCCCUUACCUCACCUCGCUCAUCAACUCAUCCUUGACCGCUGGCUACGUCCCUUCCGUCUUCAAGAGAACCUAUCUGCUGCCUUUAAUACUGUGAACCAUCAGAUCCUCCUCUCCACCCUCUCCGAGUUGGGUAUCUCCGGCGCGGCUCACUCUUGGAUUGCGUCCUACCUGAC